UACAGAGGGUGCUAGCGUUGUUCGGAAUCAUUGGGCGUAAAGGGCGUGUAGGCGGUUUGUUAAGUCAUGUGUGAAAUCCCUCGGCUCAACCGGGGAACGACGCAUGAAACUGGCAAGCUAGAGUACCAAAGAGGGGGGUGGAAUUCCCGGUGUAGCGGUGAAAUGCGUAGAUAUCUGGAGGAAUACCGGUGGCGAAGGCGGCAUCCUGGACCGGCAUUGACGCUGAGGAGCGAAAGCUAGGGGAGCAAACGGG
Molecule: ribosomal RNA, 253 nt
Filed under: uncultured bacterium
Lineage: Bacteria
Description: partial 16S ribosomal RNA
Rfam family: Bacterial small subunit ribosomal RNA
Source: RNAcentral